UUAGGGGCAAAAAAAAAAAAGAAAAAGAAAACCAGGGUAGUUGAUUAAAAAAGGAUAGCCCACAGUAUAAUAAGUCACACCCAGCAAAUUAUAGAGAUCGAAGUUAUUGGUGCUUUUCAUUCUAGGGCAUCUGGUGUGUGCGGCUGCAUUUGACCUUUUAGAAGCUAUUGACAUCAUUUGGGAACUGCCUGUAAACCUGCCUAAAUCAGUUAAACAGAAGGAAUCUUAGCAUUGUGGAACUGACCAGUUGAUUAAUUUAAAUCCAAACACACAGUCCUGCCUGGUUGCCCUUUGCAAGACCCUUGCACAAAAGGAUUUCAUUCAGGAGCGUUAUAACCCACAUCCUGCCAUCAGACCCUUUCAGCUCUGUUGGUCUUCUUAGGCUGCAGCGGCGUCUUUAACCCCUCUUAGGCUCCCUUUUAUUUCAUGAAAACAAUAUCUGUGCUGUGCUUCAUACAAAUGCUCUACAUUUCCUUCAAAGUUCUUUAUUUGUUCUAGGGAAAAGGUAAUUUAAAGUUCCACUAAUUGAGAGACUAAAAUGGGAAUUUAUUUUAAACUGGCUUCUUUAGAAGAAGUCUAUUAGAACUUAAUCCAGUGCUUCCUCCGGGAAUUAUAAUCAAAAUUAGAAUCAUGAAAUGUUGAAAUAACUUUUUGGUAUUAAAGUAAGCCAUCAUCCAUAAUUCCUUUGACUUUUAGAUUCAAAACAUUGAAGGCUUUAUAAUCUGUGUUUGGCUUUGGGAAAACAGUAAUUGACUCUUGAGUGAGUUCAGAGGUAGUAUAAAGAUCUAGUCUGGGAUCUUUAAAUGGAAGCAAAAUUAAAAUUAUUUCUGGGCAAAACUUUGAAUAAUUUCAGCCUGUUACAUGAACUGAGAAAAGUAUCCCCAUAUUGGGCACUCCGCUGGGCUUGGUUGCCAAAGAGGGCCAAUAUUUGUGUGGGGGAGAAAAAUGAAAAACCUGCUACGGAAUGCUUCAUAGCACAUAGGAUGUUAGCCUGGGAAAGACCAGCACCCUCAUUUUAAACACCAAAAAAACUAAGCCCCCUCUCCCACCCCCCACUUGGUUAUUCAAGCUCUUAAACUGGCGUUGGUUCGUUUCUGCUUCCUCAUGACCAAAUUACAGCGCUUUUCUGGAAUACAAAGGAAGCCUUUCAGAGUUGGUGGUAUCAUCUGAUUCUCUGUGGUUUUGUUCAUUGUCAUUAAUUUUAAUAACCGCUUUUUAUCGAGUAUUUGUGAUGUCUAUGCCCUAUCUCUGUCUUCAUAACUACAGUGUGAAGUGGUACUAUUGUUCUUCCCCUUUUGAAAAUGAGGAACUGAUGUUUAGCACAGUCUGGGUCUUGCCCAGAGUAUGAGCUACUCUGAGGAGGGGUGAAGCAGGAGCAGAAGCCUCUCUGGUGGCAGCCAGAUACCAAGAAGAGAACAAGACGUGUUUCUCCCAAGCCUCAUAGGUUGACUUGAGAAUAUUAUGGUCAUAUGAAUGACUGUGCCAUGGGUCAUUGGUAGAAGAGAAAAAUUAAGGCCAUUUUGGCCCGAAUUCCUCAGAAACAGUGGAUUCACGGAAAGGGAAGAUGAUGGCACCCCCUUUCUGGCUGCCAUGAGAAGCCGUGGGUGUCCAGGUGAGGGACAUGCUGGGGAAUCAGGGAACCUGGAGACUGUGUGACACAGGAGAACUCAUGCUGUCCUUUUUGAGCUUCUGCUUUUUAUUUUCAUUUCUAAAAGUGAAAUUCAAAUUUCUCCUUUACUAGCUUGUUUCAAAAAUUAAGUGAUAUAACUUAAUCAUAAACACUCUGGAAAAUGAAUAAAAUUGGGACAUAAUUUUUUUUUGUUCAUUUAUCCCGGAAGUAUUUAUUGACUGAAUGCCAAAUGCAAGUUACAGUGCUGUAAAGAGAAUAAGAAGCAAAUGUAGACGUUGUCUCUACCUUUCGGAAGAUUCCAUGGGGCAGGAAAAUAAGAUACAUGCUAAUAAUUUGGGCCACCGAAUGUUUUAAAUGUAGUUAGUAAGGUAGAGGACACUGGUAUUUCUGAGGAAGAACCCAUGCCAGGUGGAAGGGGUUUGUGGAGGAUUGGUAGGGUUUAGGUUUGAUAGGAGAGACGGGAGGAGUGGUGUGUGGGGGGAGGAUUAGGGAGGUAGGUCGUGGGAUUUAAGGAGGAGGAGGGAGAGGAGAGGGUAAGAGCAGAGGCCUGCAGGAGGGAAAGGACAAGGGCAUAUUAGUGUAUCAGAUUGUCUUAUUGGCUCCAUGUAGCUCAAGGAGGUAAGCAAAAAAAAAAAAUUUUGUUUUUUGUUUUGUUUUGUUUUUUGGCAAAAACGGGUUUAUUUCGGAGCUGUGAAAUCUGCACUUGAUUCAGUGGCUCACAGGGGAGCCUUUUAGGAUUUUGGAUUUUUUUUGUGGUAUCAUAGUAAGAAAAUGUUUUGUGAUGACUCAUGAAGGACAAAGUGAUGCAUAGAAUGAUUAAAAGAGUGAGCAAGACGCUGCAGUCAGGGAGACCAGAGACCACAGCAUUUUGGGAUGACCGAUGCAGAAGACUGAGCUAGGGGAGCAUCUCUGGAACAAAAAGGGGGUAGAUCACUGAAAUUUGGCCACUUAUUGGAUUUGGAAGUUCUUGUGAUACUUUUUUUUUUUUUAAUUAAAUCAGUGUGAAUUUGUUUUAAUGAACAAAUUUAAACCCAAAUGCUAAUAAAAUCCCAUAUGCCACUGCCAUUUUUCAUUGUUUUUUGUACUUAUAUUAUGCUUAACUGGAAUUAGGAAAAGUGUUGGGUUAAGACCAGAGGAGGCAAGAAUGUUGCUCAUCUGGGCUAGGGAGAAAUUUAAUGUAAAUUAUGAGGCAAAGCUGGUUUAGAGGAUUAAGAACCUUUCUCCUUAUCAUCAGAAAAGUGACUUAGGGGGAGGAGGUAGGCUGGCACAGUAGCCGACUAUCAAGGCUCUAGAAAUCCUGGCCAAAUAGCCCCUCAGAAGUGGCACUUUGACUCCCGUUUGCUUCCGAAUCAGUACUUGCCAACACGAAUUUACUUUAGUUUAAGAAACAAGGUAAGCCCAGGGCCUUGUUGAACCCUAAAAACUUCAAGGAUUCAGGUGGUUGUGUGGGGAUUAGAUGAGAUUGAUAAUCCUUUGUAGUCAAGGGGUGACUUCUCUGGGAAAGAUGCUGUUUUCCUUAUGAAAGAGUAUUUUUCAUCUAACUUCGGUUGUCUUUCAGUUUGAGAAAUUAGACUAUUGUUUGGAUAUCUGAAGCCUUGGGAUCUACUGGGGAAUAAGUGGAUCUUCUGAAGUUUGAGAGUGUACAGUUAUCUAGCAAGACUACAUCAGAGCUUGGUGGAGUGGUGUUAUUGGUUGGUUUCUUCCCCCUCCUCAAGGUGCUGUGCUGCUUACCUCGCAGGCCCUCUCUGUGCCAUCCUUAGGGAUCAAAGGAAGAGGUGGCAAUUUUUGUACAAAGUCAUCAAUUUAGGAGGGAGUUUAUGGUCUUCUCUAAGAGGUGGUGAGACUGCACUGAUCACAAAAUGUAUUGGAGUGGCAAGAGGAAAUAGAAUACUGAUGAGCAUGUGAUUUAUAGAUUCAGGGGAGAACAAAACUCCGUGUAGCUCAGAAUUAGGGAGUGGAGGCUGGGGAGCUCAGGCUUCUUUUCUCUAAAGCAGGGAUCUUUAACAGGGCUCAUAAUCUGGCCACCUGGGGCCAUUUGUCUCGUGAUACUUGGCUCCUGUUCCUGUUGGUGGUCUUCCAUAUUCCGCUUAGCCCUUUGGUCAGAGAUCUCUUGGUUUGGCCUUAUUUUUUGAAUAGGCUCUUUGUUCAACUGUACCUUUACCAAAAAAAAAAAAAAAA
Molecule: long non-coding RNA, 3808 nt
Filed under: Canis lupus familiaris (dog)
Lineage: Eukaryota; Metazoa; Chordata; Mammalia; Carnivora; Canidae
Description: lncRNA (ENSCAFG00845001844.1)
Source: RNAcentral